GCUGCACAGUACUGUCUUUUUUCGAUGGCCAUUGUGAUAUCGUUUAGUACCUUGAGCGUGGCUGAGGUGCACCCGUGACCGGCUCGGAAACCAGAUUGCACAGCGGAGAAGGUACGGUGUGAUUCGAGAUGUGAGCAAGCCAAGAGGAUUUGAUUUUGAGAAAUGGAGAAAUGUAUUGUUUGUUUGUAAUUGUUUAAGCCUGUUAUUGGUCAUGGGCUUCGACAUUAUAUAAUCGUGCUACUGCCAGCUCUUUUCAUGGAUUAGGUAAGGUCUUAAUAUAUCUUGACAAGUGUUAUCUAUAACCUGGGUGACGCUUGACAAGAAAAGUCAAUGUUUUGAAAAAGUUCCUGAUUGUAAGUCAGUGGGUGUAUAACCAUACAUUUCUAUUGGAGGUUUGUGGUCAACGUCCAUGGCCUAGCAGUGAGAUUGCCCCGCUAUAUCAGCCCAGGCUGGUCAUUCAGUAGAGGAACCCAUAAAGAUGUACCUAUCUACCAGCAUUUAACCAACCCCAUGGCAGCUUGCCCAGACAGGGACGUAGCUUUUGAUCCUCCAGAGCUCCCAGAGGAGACACUGAUGGGGCCGUGGCAUGCAGAUGGCCUGGGGAACCUACGCUUCACUCUGGCUUUUGUCCACUGUGUCAUGGAGAUAGCUGUAACGUCUGCUUCCAACUCACACUCUCAAACACGUAGAUCCCCUGAAAGCAGCUCACUUUCCAGCCCAGUUUCCAGCUCACACUCUCACACACAUAGAAUGCAGAUCACUCUCCAGAUCCCAAUCACCUGAAUUCUGAUCACCUGUUCACACACCUGUAUGUCAUUUACACAAACUAUUUAGUUCAGUUCUUUGCACCCCAUCAUUGUGAGGUAUUGUUUGUUUUGAUACACAGUUCUAUUCUGAGAGCUGUUGUUCCUGGAUUAGUCCUCCUGUGUAUCAUAGUUUUGGCCAUCCUCACUAAUGAUGCCUUUUUGCAUGUCCCUGCCUGUACUUUUGCCUAUCAGAUUUCCUGUCAUUAACCUCUUGCCUGAUCUCCCGGACGACAUUACUAGUUUUUUCCCUGCCUGUACUGCUGCAUUUGUGGAACCCCUGUGUAUGACCUUCUGCCUGCCCCUGGACCCAGCUACCUGCCUCCUCCUGUGGUCCUUUACAAAUAAACACCUGCUGCGCCCUGUAUUCAUCACAUUUGGCAUGGCAUGUAGCCUAGUGGUUAUAGCAAUGGGCCAGUAACUGAAAGGUUGCUAGAUCGAAUGCCCGAGCUGAUAAGGUAAAGAUCUGUCGUUCUGCCCACUGUUCCAAGGACGUCAUUGUCAAUAAGAAUUUUUUCUUAACUGACUUGCCUAGUUAAAUAAAGGUAAAAUAAAUAAAAUGACAAUCGCCAGUUCUAAAGACACUGGACUUGAGAGUGAGACCAGUGAAGACACUCCUGAUGUGUCCUUCCUGCAGCAAAGCCUGGUGGCUGAUCAGAUCAGUCUUCUAAGCCAGGAGUGGAGGUGAGGGGAUGCAUCUCUGUUAUUGAUUCCCUAAUCUUGAAGUUGCUGCUUUGGCCUGUUAACUUAUACAGCACUUAGGACCUAUAUUUAAAAAUCACAGCGUAAUGGUGUAUUGUUAGUACUUCAAGAUGUUUUUUGUUUGUAAACAUUGGUGUUUUCGAUGUGUGUAUCACAGCUAUACAGAGCAGUUAGUACUGUUCAUGAAGGCUGCAGAAUUGAUUUAGUCUGCAUUACACACUGCUAUGGAGCACAUCAGAGAAGGCAGACUCUUUCCCUCAUCUACAGUCAAGCAGGUGGUGUAGAAGCUGAAAGAAAUGUAUAAGAGCAGUGUGACGUCCUGUCGGUCCCUCAACGCCCGCCUGCAGAGCUUUCUCCUCAACAAGCAGAGACUGAUGGACGACCACAACAACAUCACUGCAGAGAAACAGUGGUGGAAAAAGUGCAGUCAGCAGCGCUAGAUGAGAUGUUCCACCUUGGCCAGGUGCCCAUCCAGAGAUACUACAAAGCCCUGCUGCUCAUGGAGAGUUCCUCACCAUCACAGAGCAGGCAGACAUCAACAACAUAAGCAAACAGUGUAUUGAGAGACGCAUCCUCUCUGCUCGGCAGACUGCAUAGUGUGAUUGAGCUUGAGGCUUUUGGACUAUAGCUACAAUAUUAGCUGAAGCUUCUGAGCUUGGUUAGAGCACCUCCAGAUCCUCUGGUGUCCCUCUGUCCCCUGUGAAAAUGGAGCUCCUCGCUGUUGACACACAAAAGCACUUUGAAUGGAACAUGCUCAGUGACAAGACCACUGAUAUAGCUUCUCUCAACCCACAGACUAGCACCAAGCAUGUUUAGUACCACAAGGGAGAAGAAGAGGAUUGUGGGUGGUUCUGACUGACUCCACUCUGAGAGCCUUGUGUGUUGUGGUUGUGUGUCACGCUACAGUAUGUUCUGCCAGUCCAGUAGUAUGCUACUGUUAUCUACUGGAUUUAUCAGGCAUCACUGGAUAGAGUAAUUAUUAUUGUAUUUUUAGUACAAUUUUGUGUAAUUCUGUGCUUUUUUUGUGGUUGGCUUUAAUCUUUAGUUUUUAUAUUACUGCCUGUGGCUAUACAUUUGAAUGUGCCUAUUUCUGAAAGACAAUGGUAUCCGCUUUCUGAAAUAAAAAUGAGGCACCUUUUAAAUGUCUUUGUAAAUAUAUUGAGUAAUUGUUUUGACUGUAUGUUGUUCUUGUUCACCAAAACCAAGCUACCACAAUCAGUUUCAUAUGAGAAAAUUGUGUGAGAAUAGUGAUUAUAAUAAAAUGUCUAUA
Long non-coding RNA from Oncorhynchus masou masou (cherry salmon), 2775 nucleotides. RefSeq lists it as uncharacterized. The transcript is spliced from 5 exons. The record is from RefSeq and is a predicted model, not a curated record. Lineage: Eukaryota; Metazoa; Chordata; Actinopteri; Salmoniformes; Salmonidae.